RNAcentral lists this ribosomal RNA (439 nucleotides) under uncultured bacterium. RNAcentral's name for it is "partial 16S ribosomal RNA". It matches the Rfam family "Bacterial small subunit ribosomal RNA", at positions 338 to 795 of the family's 1533-position model. The record is from RNAcentral.
CCUACGGGUGGCAGCAGUGGGGAAUAUUGGACAAUGGGCGAAAGCCUGAUGCAGCCACGCCGCGUGAACGAUGACGGCCCUCGGGUCGUUAAGCUCCGUUUUCAAGGAAGUUAAUGACGGUACUUGAGGAGGCAGCACCGGCUAACUAGGUGCAAGCAGCCGCGGUAAUGCGUAGGGGGCUAGCGUUAUCCGGAUUUACUGGGCGUAAGGGGUGCGUAGGUGGUUUAUUAGGUCAGAGGUGAAAGGCUACGGCUCAACCGUAGUAAGCCUUUGAUACUGGUGAACUUGAGUGCAGUAGAGGUAGGUGGAAUUCCUAGUGUAGCGGUGAAAUGCUUAGAGAUUAGGAGGAACACCAGUUGCGAAGGCAGCUCUCUGGACUGUAACUGACACUGAGGCACGAAAGCGUGGGUAGCAAACAGGAUUAGAUACCCGGGUAGUC